CCGAGUUUACAACUCCCAAACCCAAUGUGAACGUUACCAAACUGUUGCCUCGGCGGGAUCUCUGCCCCGGGUGCGUCGCAGCCCCGGACCAAGGCGCCCGCCGGAGGACCAACCAAAACUCUUAUUGUAUACCCCCUCGCGGGUUUUUUACUAUCUGAGCCAUCUCGGCGCCCCUCGUGGGCGUUUCGAAAAUGAAUCAAAACUUUCAACAACGGAUCUCUUGGUUCUGGCAUCGAUGAAGAACGCAGCGAAAUGCGAUAAGUAAUGUGAAUUGCAGAAUUCAGUGAAUCAUCGAAUCUUUGAACGCACAUUGCGCCCGCCAGUAUUCUGGCGGGCAUGCCUGUCCGAGCGUCAUUUCAACCCUCGAACCCCUCCGGGGGGUCGGCGUUGGGGAUCGGCCCUUUACGGGGCCGGCCCCGAAAUACAGUGGCGGUCUCGCCGCAGCCUCUCCUGCGCAGUAGUUUGCACACUCGCAUCGGGAGCGCGGCGCGUCCACAGCCGUUAAACACCCCAAACUUCUGAAAUGUUGACCUCGGAUCAGGUAGGAAUACCCGCUGAACUUAAGCAUAUCAAAAGGCCGGGAGGAA
This 587-nucleotide ribosomal RNA is filed under the name Trichoderma virens. RNAcentral describes it as "eukaryotic LSU rRNA". The stretch from base 201 to 354 matches the Rfam family "5.8S ribosomal RNA". The record is from RNAcentral. Lineage: Eukaryota; Fungi; Ascomycota; Sordariomycetes; Hypocreales; Hypocreaceae.